This 412-nucleotide ribosomal RNA is filed under the name Enterobacter sp. VAC4. RNAcentral describes it as "bacterial SSU rRNA". It matches the Rfam family "Bacterial small subunit ribosomal RNA", at positions 986 to 1392 of the family's 1533-position model. Lineage: Bacteria; Pseudomonadati; Pseudomonadota; Gammaproteobacteria; Enterobacterales; Enterobacteriaceae. The record is from RNAcentral.
AUCCAGAGCACUUAGCAGAGAUGCUUUGUCGUGCCUUGCAGGAGAACUCUGAGACAGGUGCUUGCAUGGCUGUCGUCAGCUCGUGUUGUGAAAUGUUGGGUUAAGUCCCGCAACGAGCGCAACCCUUAUCCUUUGUUGCCAGCGGUCCGGCCGGGAACUCAAAGGAGACUGCCAGUGAUAAACUGGAGGAAGGUGGGGAUGACGUCAAGUCAUCAUGGCCCUUACGAGUAGGGCUACACACGUGCUACAAUGGCGCAUACAAAGAGAAGCGAACUCGCGAGAGCAAGCGGACCUCAUAAAGUGCGUCGUAGUCCGGAUUGGAGUCUGCAACUCGACUCCAUGAAGUCGGAAUCGCUAGUAAUCGUAGAUCAGAAUGCUACGGUGAAUACGUUCCCGGGUCUUGUACACACCG